CAUUUAGGCAAUACCUAAUAUAUUAUUGAUUUAUGCAGCAUGUGAUUUAUCAAACAACUGAAUAAAUCAUUUAUUCAUGAUUAUAUAUAUACACACACACACAUUUAGGCAAUACCUAAUAUAUUGUUGAUUUAUGCAACAUGUCAUUUAUCACACAACAGAAUAAAUCAUUUAUUCACAGAAGGCACAUAGUACAAUAUUUUUGCCUUGACAAACUUUGUCAAUUUGAUUUAUUCAUUAUAUGGUCAUACUUAUACUGUCAUUUAUUGUCAGGAAUUAUUGAGCAACUAGAUCCACUGAUCAACAUUGUUGCUGAUUAAAGAAGUCUACCAACUUAUAGACUGAUGAGCCACGUGCUCAUGGUGAUCUCUUGUCUGACCGGACACCCACUUGCUUAUCACCAACCAGGUGAUCCAAAGUACGUUCAGUACUCUAAAAUUAUUCGGCAGUCUGCCGCUAUUAUCACCAACUAGGUGAUCAAAAGUACAUCCAGUACUCCAAAAUUAUUCAGCAGCCUGCCGUUAUUAUCACCAACCAGGUGAUCAAAAGUACAACUCGUCCUCCAAAAAAUCAUACAUAAGCAUCACUCAUGACAAUCACCAUCAUACAUGAGCAUCACUCAUGUCAAUUAACAUAAACAUUCAUGAGCAUCACUCAUGUCAACAUCCAUGAGCAUCACUCAUGUCAAUCAGCUUCGAAAACUCCAUUUACAGAGCUCUAGCUUCGAAAGCUUCAUUUACAGAGCUCCAGCUUCGAAAGCUUCAUUUACAAGAGCUCCAGCUUCGAAAGCUUCAUUUACAAAGCUCCGACUUCAAAGCUUCAUUUACAAAAGCUCCAGCUUCAAAGCUUCACUUUCAAAGCCUCACCUAUAAAACUUCACUUUCAAAGCUUCACCUACAAAGCUUCAGUGCAUGGUA
Molecule: long non-coding RNA, 917 nt
Filed under: Malus domestica (apple)
Lineage: Eukaryota; Viridiplantae; Streptophyta; Magnoliopsida; Rosales; Rosaceae
Description: long non-coding RNA (MDOM_LNC012087)
Source: RNAcentral